GAUGAACGCUGGCGGCGUGCCUAAUACAUGCAAGUCGAGCGAACAGACGAGGAGCUUGCUCCUCUGACGUUAGCGGCGGACGGGUGAGUAACACGUGGAUAACCUACCUAUAAGACUGGGAUAACUUCGGGAAACCGGAGCUAAUACCGGAUAAUAUAUUGAACCGCAUGGUUCAAUAGUGAAAGACGGUUUUGCUGUCACUUAUAGAUGGAUCCGCUCCGCAUUAGCUAGUUGGUAAGGUAACGGCUUACCAAGGCAACGAUGCGUAGCCGACCUGAGAGGGUGAUCGGCCACACUGGAACUGAGACACGGUCCAGACUCCUACGGGAGGCAGCAGUAGGGAAUCUUCCGCAAUGGGCGAAAGCCUGACGGAGCAACGCCGCGUGAGUGAUGAAGGUCUUCGGAUCGUAAAACUCUGUUAUUAGGGAAGAACAAAUGUGUAAGUAACUAUGCACGUGUUGACGGUACCUAAUCAGAAAGCCACGGCUAACUACGUG
Molecule: ribosomal RNA, 497 nt
Filed under: uncultured bacterium
Lineage: Bacteria
Description: partial 16S ribosomal RNA
Rfam family: Bacterial small subunit ribosomal RNA
Source: RNAcentral